This 863-nucleotide long non-coding RNA is filed under the name Phascolarctos cinereus (koala). Its description in RNAcentral is "lncRNA (ENSPCIG00000012978.2)". Lineage: Eukaryota; Metazoa; Chordata; Mammalia; Diprotodontia; Phascolarctidae. The record is from RNAcentral.
UAAGGAUUUAAAAAUAUUAAUCGAAUGCCAGAUCAAUGGCCAGAUGCCAGAAGAAAACUUUGCUUGUCAAAAGUUAUAGAAUUGAAAGAAUUGGGGGGAAACUAGGAAUUGAUGGGUAGAAGUAACAAAGGAGAAGAUUUAGGCCGGAUGCCAAGAAUGAGGGCUACUUUGAGAAGAAAUGGGCUUUCUUUGGAGGUCUUCAAGCAAAUUCUGUGUGCAAAGCCGCCAUCUUAUAAGUUUCAUGUUGGGCAGGCAGAGGCAUUCAGAAGAGAACACAGGGAAGCUGCUUUUGGGGAUUGUUGAUUCGGUGGAGUCUGAAAGGCUCCCAAAUCCUAGGAACUUGGAGCGGACCCAGAACUCUAAAAGAAGCCCCAGGAGGCGAGGCGAGGCAAGAUUUACACAGAAUGAUAUUAAUGAAAAAAGGCACACCCUUGCUUCAGCUUCAAAAAACCAAGAGGAGAUGAAUAACAAAAUGAAAGAACACAUUUUGCCCAAACUUCAACCCCGACUUUCAAUGACAAUGCCUAUAAAGAAUGAGCAGUUGCUGUACCUUCUGGAGGGCAACAUUUACAGCAUAUCACAUGAACUCAUUGCUGGACCACAGGACAGGUAAACUUUCUUUGUGGCUUUGGGAACUAUCUCUAAGGUGGAAAAAAAGAAGCAUCUUGUUGACAUUUUAAAAAUUUCUCUAGCACUGAGAGCACCUAGAUUCCUAACUUUAAAAAUCACUGGAAAAAGAGAAAAGAAGAAAAAUAAUUGGGCUGAUGAUUGGGGAAUUGCCAGACUGUGAUACACAAAUGUAAUGAUUAUUGCUAAGGAAUAGAUAUUUCUUGAAUGAGCACUUCUAAGAAAUAGAGGAACAC